AGUGAACGCUGGCGGUAGGCCUAACACAUGCAAGUCGAACGGCAGCACAGUAAGAGCUUGCUCUUACGGGUGGCGAGUGGCGGACGGGUGAGGAAUACAUCGGACUCUACUUUUUCGUGGGGGAUAACGUAGGGAAACUUACGCUAAUACCGCAUACGACCUACGGGUGAAAGCAGGGGAUCUUCGGACCUUGCGCGAUUGAAUGAGCCGAUGUCGGAUUAGCUAGUUGGCGGGGUAAAGGCCCACCAAGGCGACGAUCCGUAGCUGGUCUGAGAGGAUGAUAAGCCACACUGGAACUGAGACACGGUCCAGACUCCUACGGGAGGCAGCAGUGGGGAAUAUUGGACAAUGGGCGCAAGCCUGAUCCAGCCAUACCGCGUGGGUGAAGAAGGCCUUCGGGUUGUAAAGCCCUUUUGUUGGGAAAGAAAAGCAGCAGGUUAAUACCCCGCUGUUCUGACGGUACCAAAAGAAUAAGCACCGGCUAACUUCGUG
This 492-nucleotide ribosomal RNA is filed under the name uncultured bacterium. RNAcentral's name for it is "partial 16S ribosomal RNA". It matches the Rfam family "Bacterial small subunit ribosomal RNA", at positions 29 to 507 of the family's 1533-position model. The record is from RNAcentral.